This 449-nucleotide ribosomal RNA is filed under the name uncultured bacterium. RNAcentral's name for it is "partial 16S ribosomal RNA". It matches the Rfam family "Bacterial small subunit ribosomal RNA", at positions 29 to 523 of the family's 1533-position model. The record is from RNAcentral.
AAUGAACGCUGGCGGCAGGCCUAACACAUGCAAGUCGAACGGGUCCUUCGGGACUAGUGGCAGACGGGUGAGUAACGCGUGGGAACGUGCCCCUUGGUACGGAAUAGCCCCGGGAAACUGGGAGUAAUACCGUAUGUGGUCGAGAGACGAAAGAUUUAUCGCCAAGGGAUCGGCCCGCGUUGGAUUAGGUAGUUGGUGGGGUAAUGGCCUACCAAGCCGACGAUCCAUAGCUGGUUUGAGAGGAUGAUCAGCCACACUGGGACUGAGACACGGCCCAGACUCCUACGGGAGGCAGCAGUGGGGAAUCUUAGACAAUGGGGGAAACCCUGAUCUAGCCAUGCCGCGUGAUCGAUGAAGGCCUUAGGGUUGUAAAGAUCUUUCAGGUGGGAAGAUAAUGACUGUACCACCAGAAGAAGCCCCGGCUAACUCCGUGCCAGCAGCCGCGGUAA